GGAAGUGAGGGCUAUCUGGCUGCAACAUCUGUCCCCCACUAAUCACCAGGUUGAUUCACUGAUCUGGCUGGCUACCCGGGUGUCCCCUUCCUCCCUCACCCUCCAUGCGCAUCCUUCCCAAAGGGUGGACGAGGAGGACAUCCCCUAUAGAGUACUACCAUUCUUCUUCGGUCCAAGGGUAUGUGAGCAACUGUGCUUCCUGCUCCUCCAAACACGCUCUCAAAACCACUAACAGAGUAAAUCAUUUACCCUGAAGAUUUAAAAGGAAAAUAGAAAACAGUAGAAAACAAAUUACAAAAUGAUAUAGAAAGACCUUAGCUAU
This 322-nucleotide small nuclear RNA is filed under the name Castor canadensis (American beaver). RNAcentral's name for it is "7SK RNA (ENSCCNG00000016708.1)". The stretch from base 1 to 264 matches the Rfam family "7SK RNA". From Rfam's summary of the family: 7SK was discovered as an abundant small nuclear RNA in the mid-70s but a possible function has only recently been suggested. Two independent studies have found that 7SK RNA binds the CDK9/cyclin T complex (known as elongation factor P-TEFb). Lineage: Eukaryota; Metazoa; Chordata; Mammalia; Rodentia; Castoridae. The record is from Rfam by way of RNAcentral.